AGAAACAAGAUCAUGGUACGAGGCGGAGCUUCAUGCUUAGCACUGCUGGCCGACGGGGACAACCAAGGCAACACAACGGUGACGCUCAUCGAUGGCUGCGUCCGGCGGGAUGGGCACGGCUGAGAGGAGCUCUUCGCCGCGCCGGAUCUGUCCGUCCAUGUGUAGGCGCCGCCGUCCUGAUCCCCUUGCUAGAACUUUCAGGUGAAGAAGAGGAGGAACCUGCAUGGGGCGUGCUCCUUUAGGGCUAUUGCUGCUGGAGAUAUAUGUGCUAUAUGCAAGAGAAGAUGCAUGGCCCCAUUCGUUUGCGCUGUAAACAUGUCUUCUGAGAAGAUUGUGUCUCUAAAUAGUAACCACGUGAAUUUUGUCUUCUGCCACGUAACUACAAAAUUUGGCAAUUGAUUUCAUAAUAUGAGCAUUCAAAAUAGUAUCUUAUAUGUUUCCUUACUAUUUUUCUAGAUGAUGGCAGGUUUGAGAGGGAGCAUACUUUCCUGUUGUGUGAUCUGUCCAUUCUAACUGGGUUUACCUUGUAAAAUGCAUUGGGUAAGUAAAUUCGAAAAAGCUGGGUACUAGCUCGUGCACAUCAUAUCGCUAGAUUUUUUAACACUUGUGGAGGUUGAAUUGAGGUUCCAAAAGUCAAAACAUGUAUAUAUCUUUAUGUGUAAUCACCUCUGAUAUGCUACAAAACAAUCUUGACAUGGUAUAAACUACACCCUGUCUUUAGUUAGAAUAAUAGACAACUUGUUGAAUUCAUAAGUUGGAAUCAUCAUCUUGCGUAGUUAGCCAAUAUCCUUCUUUCAUUUUUUCCAAGUUUCCAACAUGAGAAAUAUCAUAAAUUUGAAAUGCAGCUACAGAUUUAGGAGGUAAUAGAAGUAGUAUAUGGACAUUGUUUUUCUUACCAAUCACUCUUCGUCCAGGAGGUCAGAUAUCAUUAUUAUCUCCUAAAUUUCAAGAUUAAUUAUUUAAUUAAUAAUCAAUGUUACAGGAUGCCUUUCAUGUCUUAAUAAAAUUCAGAUGUUUACCUAGCGUAUUGCGCAUAAUUCCCCGGCGCUCUGAGAUAACCUGAAGAAGAGAGGUGUAGAUAUAGAAAAUGACAAUUGUCUAUUUUGUUCGUGUGUAGAGGGGAAUGUAUUUAUUGGUUCGCCAAAUGUAAGGCCGCUAAGAAUGUGUGUGGGCUUCUGGGAUUGGAGGACAACAGAGUACGCCUGGAGGCUGCUGCCACAACUUUGGACACUUUGGGUACUAUUUGGGAGCUCCACGAACAGAAGUGAGUUCAGAUUUUGACAUUUUGGUGGCAUUGGUGGAAUAAUUGAAAUAGACUGAGAGAGGAUGAUCUUGUAAUCUUGGCGUUCCAUGCAGUGUAGUUU
Molecule: long non-coding RNA, 1364 nt
Organism: Lolium perenne
Lineage: Eukaryota; Viridiplantae; Streptophyta; Magnoliopsida; Poales; Poaceae
Source: RefSeq, a predicted model, not a curated record